GACGAACGCUGGCGGCGUGCUUAACACAUGCCAGUCGAACGGAAAGGCCUGCUUUCCCUUGUGGAUUGCGGGUACUCGAGUGGCGAACGGGUGAGUAACACGUGAGUGAUCUGCCCCCAACUUGGGUAUAAGCCUGGGAAACUGGGUCUAAUUCCCGAUAGGACUGCAGGGUGGUGCCUGUGGUGGAAAACGAUGUUCUAGUGGUUGGGGAUGAGCUCGCGGCCUAUCAGCUUGUUGGUGGGGUAAUGGCCUACCAAGGCGGCGACGGGUAGCCGGCCUGAGAGGGUGGACGGCCACAUUGGGACUGAGAUACGGCCCAGACUCCUACGGGAGGCAGCAGUGGGGAAUAUUGCACAAUGGGCGGAAGCCUGAUGCAGCGACGCCGCGUGGGGGAUGACGGCCUUCGGGUUGUAAACUCCUUUCGACCGCGAGGAAGCCACCUGGUUGGAAGGGUGGUGACGGUAGUGGUAGAAGAAGCACCGGCUAACUACGUG
This 494-nucleotide ribosomal RNA is filed under the name uncultured bacterium. RNAcentral describes it as "partial 16S ribosomal RNA". It matches the Rfam family "Bacterial small subunit ribosomal RNA", at positions 28 to 507 of the family's 1533-position model. The record is from RNAcentral.